Cynocephalus volans (Philippine flying lemur) is the source of this 214-nucleotide small nucleolar RNA. RefSeq annotates it as small nucleolar RNA U3. The record is from RefSeq and is a predicted model, not a curated record. The transcript has a single exon. NCBI's taxonomy places the organism in Eukaryota, Metazoa, Chordata, Mammalia, Dermoptera, Cynocephalidae.
AAGACUGUAAAUUCAGGGACCAUUUCUAUAGUUUGUUACUAGAGAAGUUUCUCUGAAUGUGUAGAGCACAGAAAACCACGAGGAGGAGGUGCAGUGUUCUCUCCUGAGUGUGCAAUGGGCUCUUGGUGGUGUUCUGCAGCAACUACCAUUUGCUGUUGAUGAUCGUUCUUACUUCUCCCUUGGGAGGGUAAAAGGGAGAAGACACUGUCUGGGU